This 209-nucleotide ribosomal RNA is filed under the name Escherichia coli. Its description in RNAcentral is "partial 23S ribosomal RNA". It matches the Rfam family "Bacterial large subunit ribosomal RNA", at positions 1134 to 1341 of the family's 2925-position model. The record is from RNAcentral. Lineage: Bacteria; Pseudomonadati; Pseudomonadota; Gammaproteobacteria; Enterobacterales; Enterobacteriaceae.
GUAAUAGCUCACUGGUCGAGUCGGCCUGCGCGGAAGAUGUAACGGGGCUAAACCAUGCACCGAAGCUGCGGCAGCGACGCUGAUGCGUUGUUGGGUAGGGGAGCGUUCUGUAAGCCUGUGAAGGUGUGCUGUGAGGCAUGCUGGAGGUAUCAGAAGUGCGAAUGCUGACAUAAGUAACGAUAAAGCGGGUGAAAAGCCCGCUCGCCGGA